Ursus maritimus (polar bear) is the source of this 2287-nucleotide long non-coding RNA. Lineage: Eukaryota; Metazoa; Chordata; Mammalia; Carnivora; Ursidae. The record is from Ensembl.
AUGCUGGGUAGUUUGCUGAGGGGGAGGGGAAUAGGAGGAAAUGGGGGGGGGCAGGGCUACCCUGGAGGAGGCUGUAUUAAAGGAACAUGUGGGAGCGGAAAAGCUCUUUUUUCUCCCUCCAGCCUCUCUUGGGAUCUCUCUCCUGACCACCCCGGCCCGGCCCGGCCCACGGAUGGCACACUGUGUGUUCUCAGCUCCUCGCAACUCCGCUCACGGGCCCCGUGGACAGGUGCAGACCACCCGCCCAGAGCCGCGGAGGAGCCCCUGGCCCUGAGAACACGCAGCGUCCCACGCACACCAAGCUCAUAAUAGCCCACGUCAAGCCUUGUCUUUCUGCGCCAAGGACUUCACGAGCCUCAUCGAAUUUAUCCCCCAAACAGCCCCGGAAAGUAGGUAUGUGGAUUGUCUGCGUUUUAUAGGUGAAAACACUGAAGUUGUGAAAAGUUAAUAUUCCGCAGGCUCCCGUGUCUGCUUAGCCGUGGAGCCAGGAUUUAAACUCAGAUUUAUCUGACGGACACCAGAGUCCCGGCGCUUGACCCUUCUGCCGCACUGUCACUGUUUGUUAUUUCUGGAACGGCCUUGUUGAGAUAUCAUUCACAUACCACAGAGUUCACCCUUCAAAGUGCAUAAUGCGAUGGUUCAUAGGGUCACACAGCCGUCCCCACAGUUAAUCGGAGAGCAUUUUCAUCAUCCCCCAAAGAAACCUCGGACCCGUUAGAUACCCCCUCCGCCACCCCCACCGUCCCCUCCCAGCCCCACGCGACCACUACUCUACUGUCUGUCUCCAUAGCUUUGCCUGUUCUGCGUAUUUCACGUAAAUGGAAUCAUACACCACGUGAUCUUUUGCGGCUGGCUGCUUCUCCUUCGCACGAUGUUUUCAGACCUCAUCCAGAUGGUAGCGUGGAUCUCUCCUUCGUUCCGAUCCGCUGCUCAGUCAUCCUCCGUUGUACGGAUACGCCACAUUUUCUGUAUCCGUUCACCCCCUGAUGGGCCUUUGGUUUGUUUCUACCAUUUGCCUGUGACGAAUGAGGCUGCUAUGAGUAUUCACGUACAUGGUUUUUGGUGGAAACAUUUCUCUUGGGCAGAUACCUAGGAGCAGAAUUUCUGGGCCAAAUCAUAACUGCGUGUACACAGCCAACUGUUUUGAGGGAAACAAAAUCAGUCUGUUUGCAGAUAAGGAAAUAGAGACUCCAAAAAAACCCAGUGGCCUGCCCAAGUUGUGCAGAGCCCAAGUGGCCAAGGAAGGCUUCGCUUAGAGUGCAUCCAAUUUCAAAAGCCAAGCUUGUCAAUGUACUCACUGCAUCAUAGGAGCUCAAUUCCUACAACUUUAAGAUAGGUGCAGGGGUGAGGGGAGCGGGGAGAUGCUGUCAGAGUUAAGCCAAUGAAUUAAGCAGAAUCUCUGUUUCUGAGUGACUUACCUUUACUUGGCCAUUCACACCUUGGACAUUUUCCGGCACGUGCUAUGUGCUGAGCCCUGUGCUGGGCAUGAGGCUGACCACAAAGGUAAAGGCUGUGCCAUCCUGACCUCAAGGAGCUCCAACUCUGCUGAAGAAGGCCCUGGGCAUGGCAGUGAACAACACUGGUGAGUGACAAGUGCUGGGACCAAGGAAGGUGCUGAGGACACAUGGCAGGGCUGGAGAAGACCUCCCAGAGCUUCUGGCCAGUGGGCUGGGAAAUGACCAGUGAGCAUAAGCAAAAGGCAUUUUGAAGUGGGAGGAUAUCCAUUUCAAGGCCUUACAGUGUUGGUGGGUCUGGUGGAGGGUAGAGGCAGAGGCCGGGACAAAAAGCUGAGCAGCUGGUCAGGACCUCAAACACCACACCUGGAAGAUCAGACUUGCUCCUUUGAAGUGUCUGAGGCACGAAUGACACGGGGUAAUUUGGUGGUUAGCAAAAUCCCUCUGGAGCAGUAAGAAGAAUGAGAGAUGAAAGUGGAGCAGGUUGGAAGUCUACUGCACCAGUCCCAGCAAUAGAAGAGAGGGCCUGAAUAGGACAAUGGCUCUUGGGAUGGAGAGGGAAGAACAAAUGGGAGGGGCCUCUAGCAAGGAGGGAAGUGUCUGUGCCAUUAUUUGGCACUGGCGGAGGCAACUUCUGGGAGGUAGGGGCUGAAGGGUGGCCCCCCCCAAAAAAUAUUUGCCCACUGGGAACCUGUGAAUGCAACUUAAGGGUCUUUGCAGAUGUUAUUAAGUGUCUUGAGGUGAUCUUAUCCAGGAUCAUCCCGACAGGCCCUUGAUUUUGGGCUUCUGGUCUCCAGGAUGGUGAGGAAAUAAAUUUUUGUUAUUUUAAGCCA